GUGCCAGCAGCCGCGGUAAUACGUAGGGGGCAAGCGUUGUCCGGAUUUACUGGGCGUAAAGAGCGCGUAGGCGGAACGUUAAGCGGGGCCGGAAAGCCCCCGGCUCAACCGGGGAAGGGGCCGCGAACUGGCGUUCUUGAGGGGGAGAGAGGAGAGCGGAAUUCCUGGUGUAGCGGUGAAAUGCGUAGAGAUCAGGAGGAACACCCAUGGCGAAGGCAGCUCUCUGGCUUCACCCUGACGCUGAGGCGCGAAAGCGUGGGGAGCGAACGGGAUUAGAAACCCGCGUAGUCC
Molecule: ribosomal RNA, 291 nt
Filed under: uncultured bacterium
Lineage: Bacteria
Description: partial 16S ribosomal RNA
Rfam family: Bacterial small subunit ribosomal RNA
Source: RNAcentral